This 768-nucleotide long non-coding RNA is filed under the name Marmota monax (woodchuck). The record is from RNAcentral. Lineage: Eukaryota; Metazoa; Chordata; Mammalia; Rodentia; Sciuridae.
CUUCACUAAUAGCUUUUUUGUUUUCCAGGACUCAUCUGCAGUGGGAAUGGAUAAGAGUCCAGGGCCCAGCAUUUCAGUAUUUGCUUCCUUCCUUCAGGACCCAUUGGAGUUGGGAAGGGCUAAAUGUUUGCCUUUGGUGGAGAUGCUGGGGGCAACCUGGGAAGGAUGAAAGUCUGCUUUUUCCCUCAGGGCCCAUUGUUACUGGGAAAGGAUGUACUGGGAGAGGUUCAAUGUUUGGCUAAUUUUCUUCCUUCCUUUGGAGCCACACUGCCCCUCCAUUUUUAUUGGGGGGGGGACUGAUUGUAGGAAUAUUAUUUUCCAUAAGACUUCAGAUAGUAUUUUUUAAAAAGCACCUGUGAUUACAAGGUGAAGCAAAUGCUAUCAAAACCAUCACAGUUCUAUCAAAACCAAAAUAUUUUGGGGGCUUAGUGGUAGAGCUCUUGCUUAGCACAUAAAGGCCCUGAGUUUGAUCUUGUGCAACACACAUACACACACCAAAAAUAAAAAUAAAAUAUAGGAAAUAUCUUUGUGAUUUUGAAUAGGUGAUGAUAGAACAGUUGGUACCUGAAAGGAUGUUAUUUUGUUUUAAAUACAAAGAAAUCAUAGCAGAAAUAAAUUUCUUUAAAAUGCCUUUCAACUUAUAGAAGAUAUGGAAUUCACUGUUUUUCUUCCUCAACUGAUUGUUCUCCAAUGUUUAUUAACUUUCUCCAAGAUGGUAUUUCUCAUAUCUCAAAAUGACUGAUUUGUUACUGCUGGGCAUGUAUUUUC